ACAGUGUCAGGAAGUGACAGAGGAAGUGGAGUAGUGAGCCACAGUGUGUAACGUUCUCUGGUUUCUCUGUUCAUAGACGAGGCGAGACAGAGAGAGGAGGGAGACAGACAGCGAGAGAGAGAGAGAGACAGACAGACAGACAGAGAGAGAGACAGACAAAGAGAAAGACAGCCAGAGAGACAGACAGACAGAGAGAGAGACAGACUGAGAGAGAGAGACAGACAGAGAGACAAAGAGAGAGACAAAGAGACAGAAAGACAGAGCGAGACAGACAGAGAGAGUAUACUACUGAACUGUGUCUCGUCGAGGAACAGACAGAGAGAGAGACAGAAUACUACACGUGUCUGUCUGACCGUGUGUCAUGCGUUACCAUGACGAGAGAAGCACUCAUCAAACUCUUCAUCCUCAUCCUCCUCGCCUUCAUCAUCUGUCUCCCAGAGUUCUUCACUUCACACAGAGCGAGGGUAAACUUCCACUGUGUGACCUUUGACCCCUGCGGGGACCAGGAAGUGCCAACGCAGUGCGACCCCGGGCUGACCCCUGCGGGACAGAACUCCAGCCGGAGCGUCGAGGAGAAGCCCGUCUGUAACACCGGGAGGACGGGAGGUUCUGGAGUGAGCUGGUUGCUGUGUGACACGGAGACGGACCCGCCCGCUCUCCGUGGCAACGCCUCGCUGUCAGGAAGGAGGGUGUCGCUAUCAGUGUUGUCUGAAGGAGGGAACGCGACUUUGUACGGCUUCCUGACAGAGGAGAAGAAAGAGGAGAAGAAAGAGGGGGAGGAAGAAGGACAAGGAUUCAUCUACUGCUGUUUUCGAACCCCGCCUCUUUCCAUACCAACCAAUCACAGCCAGUGUCUCCUUCAUCUCCACACCCAAGGAACCAAUGAGACAGCUGUAAAGUCUGACCUGCCCUGGACACGGCCACCUAGAAGUGAGUGGUUGUGUGUCUUCAGGGUGGCGUGGUUGGUCCUGGUGGUUGUGGUCAUGUUGACCGUCCUCACCACGGUCCUGGGUCUGAUCUACUGGAGGACUCGCUGCUGUCGAAGUGAGUCACACACACACACACACAGUCUCGUAUAACUAACCUUGUGGACACACACACACCGUCUCGUAUAACUAACCUUGUGGGGACACACAGACACACACACACACACACACACACACACACACACACACACACACACACACACACACACACACACACACACACACACACACACACACACACACACACACACACACACACACACACACACACACACACAGUCUCGUAUAACUAACCUUGUGGGGACACACAGACACACACACACACACAGUCUCGUAUAACUAACCUUGUGGGGACACACAGACACACACACACACACACACACACAGUCUCGUAUAACUAACCUUGUGGGGACACACACACGCACACAGAUACACACACAGUCUUGUAUAACUAACCUUGUGGGGACACACAGACACACACACACACAGUCUUGUAUAAAUAACCUUGUGGGGACACACAGACAUACACACACAGUCUUGUAUAACUAACAUUGUGGGGACACACAGACACACGCACACACAGUCUUGUAUAACUAACCUUGUGGGGACACACAGAUACACACACACACACACACACACAGUCUUGUAUAACUAACCUUGUGGGGACACACUUACCCUAAACACACAGUCUUGUAUAACUAACCUUGUGGGGACACACUUACCCUAAACACACAGUCUUGUAUAACUAACCUUGUGGGGACACACUUACCCUAAACACACAGUCUUGUAUAACUAACCUUGUGGGGACACACUUACCCUGAACACACAGUCUUGUAUAACUAACCUUGUGGGGACACACUUACCCUAAACACAGUCUUGUAUAACUAACCUUGUGGGGACACACUUACCCUAAACACAGUCUUGUAUAACUAACCUUGUGGGGACACACUUACCCUAAACACACAGUCUUGUAUAACUAACCUUGUGGGGACACACUUACCCUAAACACACAGUCUUGUAUAACUAACCUUGUGGGGACACACUUACCCUAAACACACAGUCUUGUAUAACUAACCUUGUGGGGACACACUUACCCUAAACACACAGUCUUGUAUAACUAACCUUGUGGGGACACACUUACCCUAAACACACAGUCUUGUAUAACUAACCUUGUGGGGACACACUUACCCUGAACACACAGUCUUGUAUAACUAACCUUGUGGGGACACACUUACCCUAAACACACAGUCUUGUAUAACUAACCUUGUGGGGACACACUUACCCUAAACACACAGUCUUGUAUAACUAACCUUGUGGGGACACACUUACCCUAAACACACAGUCUUGUAUAACUAACCUUGUGGGGACACACUUACCCUAAACACACAGUCUUGUAUAACUAACCUUGUGGGGACACACUUACCCUAAACACACAGUCUUGUAUAACUAACCUUGUGGGGACACACUUACCCUAAACACACAGUCUUGUAUAACUAACCUUGUGGGGACACACUUACCCUAAACACACAGUCUUGUAUAACUAACCUUGUGGGGACACACUUACCCUAAACACACAGUCUUGUAUAACUAACCUUGUGGGGACACACAGACACACAUCUUAAACAAAUGAAAAAGUCUUUAUGUACAUGUGUUGAAAUUAAAUUAUUUCC
This is a long non-coding RNA of Oncorhynchus mykiss (rainbow trout), 2656 nucleotides long. The record is from Ensembl. NCBI's taxonomy places the organism in Eukaryota, Metazoa, Chordata, Actinopteri, Salmoniformes, Salmonidae.